UACGUAGGGUGCGAGCGUUGUCCGGAAUUAUUGGGCGUAAAGGGCUCGUAGGCGGUUUGUCGCGUCGGGAGUGAAAACCCAGGGCUUAACCCUGGGCUGGCUUCCGAUACGGGCAGACUAGAGGUAUGCAGGGGAGAACGGAAUUCCAGGUGUAGCGGUGAAAUGCGUAGAUAUCUGGAGGAAUACCGGUGGCGAAGGCGGCAUCCUGGACCGACAUUGACGCUGAGGAGCGAAAGCUAGGGGAGCAAACGGG
RNAcentral lists this ribosomal RNA (253 nucleotides) under uncultured bacterium. RNAcentral's name for it is "partial 16S ribosomal RNA". It matches the Rfam family "Bacterial small subunit ribosomal RNA", at positions 524 to 776 of the family's 1533-position model. The record is from RNAcentral.